Molecule: long non-coding RNA, 2038 nt
Organism: Pomacea canaliculata
Lineage: Eukaryota; Metazoa; Mollusca; Gastropoda; Architaenioglossa; Ampullariidae
Exons: 2
Source: RefSeq, a predicted model, not a curated record
AGUCCAGGGAUAUUAGUUCGUGCAGAGACGCUAAUCAUAUAUAGUUGCAUAACAUUUUUUUUUAAUUUAUUGUUCUGUGUCAUGUUUUUGUAUGGACAUAUACACAGGCCGAAAUCAUGCGUAAGAAGUCAUCGCUAUUUUUUUUUAACAUUCUAAAAAGGAAAUAACACAAAACUAGAAUUUACGAGGAUGUAGCCCACAGGCACAUAUUUCCUAUACGUCAUAGACCACAGGCGUCCAUAAAUGUAGCCUGACAACGACUGAAACGAACAUAAAAAGCUCUACUGAGCCUUUAGUUGGCAUCUGUUGAUUUAAGAUUAUCCACGUUAGAUAAUCGAGAUGUCGGUGUUACUAAUUAGAAUGUAUAAUUAUAAAAAAUCCCAGAAUAGGAGAUAGAGAGAACGUUGAAUGCAACAGGAGCUUCUGUUAUUUGCUAUGGCAUAGUGACGUCAGAACCAAGAUAAAGCGAACCGGAGGGUCGACAGCAAGGUUUCAAGCAAGACCUAUUUGGCUGAAUUUCAAUUUGGCUCGAGUGCAUGAACUGCAACGAGUGCCGCUGUUUCUAAUUCCAGUUAUUCGUCUGCCGAGACCAACGCUUCGCGCGGACCCCUGCGUUUCAGGAACACGUACAAAAAAAAAAAGUCUUCAGGUAACAUCGAAGAUGUAAUGACCCGUCAUACCAACAGAAUCGUGAAAGAAUGUAAUAUCAACACAAGGAUUCUUGAGAUCAUCAAUCAAAUACCAAGAUUUUCUAGUCGUUAACAAGUCAUGCUUCAGGAAACACUCAUAUUUCUUUUUAAGCUGGCUUGGAACUGUUCUGACUUUCUGAAGCAACAAAAUCUGGGUCAUACAUUAAUUCUUGUUUCUUAUGUUUUCACUGCUGCAGUUCUGGAGGAUUAAUCCUCUAUAGUUUAUAAAGUUGCUAGAGAUAUUUCAUGUAAAGGAUUUGAUCUUUUAUACAUUUUUAAAUGCACAAUGCACUGAGUUUGAUAAUUUUAAGAGUAUAUGCAUUUGAUUGUUUGAGAAUAUGGUAGAUACACUACUUCCCAAUGUCUGAUAUUAUUUCACCUACCAUCUGUUACACAGAUAUUACCAGAAACAUAACUAGAAUGCUCUUAUUUUUCUUUCAGUUUGCAUGGAAAGUAAAAAUACGGCUUCCUACUCUUCUCACUGUAGCUUUUCUAGCUUUUGACAUUAGAGUAAGAGUAGAAAUUGAAGUCCAAAAUUAAUGUUUUAUCUGAGAUUCACCUUUCUUUAACAUUUGUCACAUGUCCUUGCAAAUGUACACAUUCUUAGAAACAGAGUUUUAAGUCCUACCUCUUUGUCUUUUGUAGGAGAAUUGAGCACUUUUGUUUGAACUAAUUUUAAUAAAGUGCAUUAAGAUUUUCCAAAUUAGAGUGUUUUAAAUUUUAUUUAGCUAACUUGCAUGCGAAUGUGCAUUUAUAUCUGAGCAUAUGUGCUAAUUUUUGUGUGCAAACUCAUAAAUGCAUGUAUUGGAUUGAAAUAUAUAUGAAUGAUAUGUAUAUCUCGCAACAUUUUAGUUUCAAGUUUUUAAACUGUUGAAUCAUCGAUUGCUUUAUGCAUUUCAUUCAUAUGAAAAUCUACUCCAUGAGCGGUGGGAUUAGAAACUUUAAAGAGUUAACUUCAAGAAGCUGUUUUCAUCAGUGGCAUGGAUUUAUAUAUAUAAUUGUCCUUGCUCAACAGAUGUUUCUUUACAUCAGAAUUUAUUUCCCUAGCUGAAUUUAUUUCACAUGUAUGUGUUUGUUUCAAAACAGAAACGUGGACAUUUGGUAUAAAGGCUGCUAGCAAAUAAUAAAACUCAAGGUGAAAAAAAGGAAAACUGGUAAAUAAACAUUCUAGACUAGCUGUCUCCCCACCUACUUGCCAAUUGUGCUUCAUGCGAGCAGGCCCGGUGAGAGGUGUGUAGGGGGGAACAAGGUGGUCUGGUGUACCCUGUCCACGGCUGUGAAAGGGGCCUGGCUUUGGUCUGUAGAUUUAUUUCCUUCUUUUUUUCUUUUAAUAAAAGGUUGACAUAACA